This 315-nucleotide unclassified non-coding RNA is filed under the name Hevea brasiliensis (rubber tree). Lineage: Eukaryota; Viridiplantae; Streptophyta; Magnoliopsida; Malpighiales; Euphorbiaceae. The record is from RNAcentral.
CUUCCCUGUAAAUAGAUUACUUUAUAUGUAAUGCUUUAAAUAACUUAAUGGAAUGAAGCUUGCUUUCUUGUGUCGAUGUUUUAGAUAUUUGUUAUUAUUCAUGGACUCCUACUUUAUAGAACCUUUAGACAUUGAAAAAAAAGUUGAUUGUGUUCUGUUUUAUAUCUAGUUUUAAAUUUUUGGACAUCUAAGAGCAAUACUGAUUGUGAUGAUGGUUUAACUUGCGAUGAGUUCCUAUAUUAAUGGACUUCUGUUUUAAUUUUGCUGCCUGAUGUAUCUCAACUAAAUCUGCAGGGUUCUAGUACUGACAAUAGG